RNAcentral lists this ribosomal RNA (253 nucleotides) under uncultured bacterium. RNAcentral describes it as "partial 16S ribosomal RNA". It matches the Rfam family "Bacterial small subunit ribosomal RNA", at positions 524 to 776 of the family's 1533-position model. The record is from RNAcentral.
UACAGAGGUCCCAAGCGUUGUUCGGAUUCACUGGGCGUAAAGGGUGCGUAGGAGGCUGGGCAAGUCGGAUGUGAAAUCUCACCGCUUAACGGUGAAACUGCAUUCGAUACUACUUAGCUAGAGGAUCGGAGGGGAGAGCAGAAUUCUUGGUGUAGCGGUGAAAUGCGUAGAUAUCAAGAGGAAUACCAACAGCGUAGGCAGCUCUCUGGAAGAUUCCUGACUCUGAGGCACGAAGGCCAGGGGAGCAAACGGG